RNAcentral lists this ribosomal RNA (609 nucleotides) under Holtermanniella festucosa. Its description in RNAcentral is "eukaryotic LSU rRNA". It matches the Rfam family "Eukaryotic large subunit ribosomal RNA", at positions 55 to 651 of the family's 3401-position model. The record is from RNAcentral. Lineage: Eukaryota; Fungi; Basidiomycota; Tremellomycetes; Holtermanniales.
GGAAAAGAAACUAACAAGGAUUCCCCUAGUAACGGCGAGUGAAGCGGGAUGAGCUCAAAUUUGUAAUCUGGUGGACUCAGUUCAUCCGAGUUGUAAUCUAUAGAAAAGUUUUCCGCGCCGGACCGUGUCUAAGUCCCUUGGAACAGGGUGUCAGAGAGGGUGAGAAUCCCGUGCUUGAUACGACCACCGGUGCUAUGUGAUACUUUUUCAACGAGUCGAGUUGUUUGGGAAUGCAGCUCAAAAUGGGUGGUAAAUUCCAUCUAAAGCUAAAUAUUGGCGAGAGACCGAUAGCGAACAAGUACCGUGAGGGAAAGAUGAAAAGCACUUUGGAAAGAGAGUUAAACAGUACGUGAAAUUGUUAAAAGGGAAACGAUUGAAGUCAGUCGUGCUCUCUGGGACUCAGCCGGUUCUUCCGGUGUAUUUCCCAGUGAGCGGGUCAACAUCAGUUUAGAUCGCUGGAUAAGGUCAUUAGGAAUGUGGCUCCCUCGGGAGUGUUAUAGCCUAGUGUCGCAUACAGUGGUUUAGACUGAGGAACGCAGCUCGCCUUUAUGGCCGGGGUUCGCCCACGUCCGAGCUUAGGAUGUUGACAUAAUGGCUUUAAACGACCCG